RNA transcript from Monopterus albus (swamp eel), 1773 nucleotides. It is a transcript of the gene named biogenesis of lysosomal organelles complex-1, subunit 5, muted, with no coding region annotated. Lineage: Eukaryota; Metazoa; Chordata; Actinopteri; Synbranchiformes; Synbranchidae. The transcript has 6 exons. The record is from RefSeq and is a predicted model, not a curated record.
UGUAGCAGGAACUACAUUCUAAGUCAGCUGAUUUCCACUCACAAGAGUAUUAGGUUUUUACAUAUUCUAGUGCACUUGCAUUAUUAGUUAAUUGACCUUGAGCUUUUAUUUUAUUAAGUUAUAUUUAAGGAAUAAUUCGCGCUAAUGAUUGAUAGGCUUGCUAUGCUACACACAUGUUUCUCUUUCACAAUUACCUCCCAGUUAGCUUAAAAAUUGGAACAUUUAGCAGUGAUUAGCAGCUGAUUGAGCUAGUUGUUUCACAACAAAUAAAUUGUUGAUGCAUUAUUAUUAACUAUUACAACAACGUGGAAACCGGGGAAAUGGAAAAAAUUGCUAAAGUCUUAUGUGUACUGGUCCUGCAGAUGUGGGUGAUAUUCAGUCCCGACUAUUUGACCACAGACCAGUCGUCAAUGCAGAGAUCCGCUACUUUGUGAGAGAGUUUGAGGAGAAGCGUGGGCACAGGGAGAGCAGACUGCUGGAGAAUCUCAAUAAAGCAGUGGUGGAAACAAAUGAGCAUAUGCAGCAGACAGAUUUUGAGAGUAUGAACCAGCAGCUGUCUGAUGUCAUUAAACGAUUGGAAGCUGCUAAUCACAUGGCAGAGAGAGUCCAGCAGAGGGAGCUGGAGGCACAGCAGAGCACCCAGCUGCAAGUGAACAUGGAGCGUUUGAAAGAUGAGUGGGCAGAGUUUUUGAAAGAACAGCAGAAAUUAAAGGAAGCAGUGGAUGAGGAGCACGCUAUGGCUGUAAGAGAACUCAGUACCCAGUACAGCAAAAUGAAGAAGGACCUGACCAAGUUUUCACCCAUCUAAUUAGCUACUGUUUGUGAGGGUGUGAGUGAACAAACACACUGUAUGAACGCUUCUGUUUAUUACAGACAUCUACAUCUGUUUUGCACAUGAGGCAUGAAGCUAUUGGCUUUGAUUGAGUACUUGGUGAUUGACAGAAGAAGAACAUAAAGCUUAUAGGUUUUGCUCCUGCGCGGGAGUCAACAUUUUCCAAAUUGUAGAUAUGUAAUAUGAAUAACGGUAUGGAAAUUUCACAGGCCAUCAGAAUCUCAGUAUUCAGUCUUUAGCCCAUGAAAUUUGAGGUCUGACAAAUGUUAUUUUUAAAUAACCAAUCACUUGAUUCUUUGCCUGUGAAAUUUUAAACAUAAAAUAAAAUAAAUUUGCAUCAGGCUCAAGCUGAGCGAAACUCUGACGAGAUAUUGUAUUCAAAGCAAGGAAAACUAGACAGUUAAAUGUUGGAACAGCACUUCUGAGCAGGUGUGUUUAAAGAACAGGUCAAGCAUUGCAGAAACAAACAAAACAGUUUCAUGAGCAAAUCAUCCAUCACCAGCUCUCCUCUCUAAUUUCAAGCCGCUUUUGGUGUAAAAUGCUCAGCACAAGCUGUUUUUUGUUUGUUUUGCCACCUCAAAUUGAAUUUUAAUGAGUCACAGAUACUGUCAUUUAAGCAGAAAAACAGAUUUUUGUCUUCUGGAAUUUCCUUCUGGUCAUGUAUACAUAAAAACAUUUUCAGUGGCUGGCGAGCAUAACGUGUUUAAAAUGCACAGACUGCUGAACACAAACUCUAAAUGAUCAUUUCCAUUUUGCUUAUGUUUGCAUAAGGAACAUACAGACAGGUGUCAAAUUAAGGGAAAAAACCUGAAUGAGUGGUGUCUUUCAGGAUGACAGUACCCUGAUUCAUAAGGUAUGGUUUGAUGAAGAUGAAAAUGAUGUGAAUCAUAUGCUAUGGCCCAGUUGAACACCUAAGGGAGAUUUUGGAGCAACGUGAUCAA